This 1633-nucleotide ribosomal RNA is filed under the name marine metagenome. RNAcentral describes it as "bacterial LSU rRNA". It matches the Rfam family "Bacterial large subunit ribosomal RNA", at positions 187 to 1977 of the family's 2925-position model. The record is from RNAcentral.
GGGGGAGUGAAACAUCUAAGGAUGCGGAGGAAAGGAUCUCAGCGGGUAAUCCGCUAGGAGUGGCGAGCGAACGCGGACCAGGCCAGUGGCUUGCAGAAUCAAACCGGAACCGUCUGGAAAGUCGGGCCAUAGUGGGUGAUAGCCCCGUACGGGUAACGGCUCUGCAAGUCCUUGAGUAAGGCGGGACACGUGAAAUCCUGUCUGAACAUGGGGGGACCACCCUCCAAGCCUAAGUACUCGUGCAUGACCGAUAGCGAACUAGUACCGUGAGGGAAAGGUGAAAAGCACCCCGACGAGGGGAGUGAAAUAGUACCUGAAACCGGAUGCCUACAAACAGCUGGAGCCCGCAAGGGUGACAGCGUACCUUUUGUAUAAUGGGUCAGCGACUUAAUCUGGCGAGCAAGCCUAAGCCGAUAGGUGUAAGCGAAGCGAAAGCGAGUCUGAACAGGGCGUUCAGUUCGUCGGAUUAGACCCGAAACCAGUCGAUCUAUCCAUGGCCAGGUUGAAAGCAAGGUAACACUUGCUGGAGGACCGAACCGGUGCCUGUUGAAAAAGUCUCGGAUGAGCUGUGGAUAGGGGUGAAAGGCCAACCAAGGCUGGAAAUAGCUGGUUCUCCGCGAAAUCUAUUUAGGUAGAGCCUCGAGUGAAUACCCCAGGGGGUAGAGCACUGGAUGGGCUAGGGGCCCCCACAGGGUUACCAAACCUAACCAAACUCCGAAUACCUGGGAGUACUACUCGGGAGACACACGGCGGGUGCUAACGUCCGUCGUGGAGAGGGAAAAAACCCUGACCAUCAGCUAAGGUCCUCAAGUCACGGCUAAGUGUGAAAGGAUGUGGAAAUCCCAAAACAACCAGGAGGUUGGCUUAGAAGCAGCCAUCCUUUAAAGAAAGCGUAACAGCUCACUGGUCUAAUUAAGGGUUUCUGCGCCGAAAAUGUAACGGGGCUAAAGCCGUGCACCGAAGCUAUGGGUGCAUCAUCUCUUCGGAGUUGGUGUGCGGUAGCGGAGCGUUCCGUAAGCCUGCGAAGGGUGAUCCGUGAGGACGCCUGGAGGUAUCGGAAGUGCGAAUGCAGACAUGAGUAACGAGAGGAGUGUGAGAAACACUCCCGCCGAAAGUCCAAGGGUUCCUGCGUAAAGCUAAUCUGCGCAGGGUUAGCCGGCCCCUAAGGCGAGGGCGAAAGCCGUAGUCGAUGGGAACCACGUUAAUAUUCGUGGGCCAGUGGGAAGUGACGAACGCCGAAAGUUGUCUGGGCUUAUUGGAUUGUCCAGGCCGCGUAGGAGUUCCAGGAAAUAGCUCCCACAUGAGACCGUACCCUAAACCGACACAGGUGGACUGGUAGAGCAUACCAAGGCGCUUGAGAGAACGAUGCUGAAGGAACUCGGCAAAUUGCACGCGUAACUUCGGAAGAAGCGUGACCUCUUUGCGGGCAACCGUGGAGAGGUGGCACAGACCAGGGGGUAGCGACUGUUUACUAAAAACACAGGGCUCUGCGAAAUCGCAAGAUGACGUAUAGGGUCUGACGCCUGCCCGGUGCCGGAAGGUUAAGAGGAGAGGUGCAAGCUUUGAAUCGAAGCCCCGGUAAACGGCGGCCGUAACUAUAACGGUCCUAAGGUAGCGAAAUUCCUUGUCGGGG